RNAcentral lists this long non-coding RNA (245 nucleotides) under Elaeis guineensis (African oil palm). RNAcentral describes it as "long non-coding RNA (EGUI_LNC074940)". The record is from RNAcentral. Lineage: Eukaryota; Viridiplantae; Streptophyta; Magnoliopsida; Arecales; Arecaceae.
GCCGGAUAGGUCGAAUGUGUAGAACAACAUUCUUAGAACCCAUGCGGAUAUAGUUUCCAUAUAAUUCAUCUCCUUGACCAAAAUGCUCAUAGGACACCUUAGAGUUCCACUAUCAACUCUGAUCAGAUUGUCCAUAUUGUAUUUCAAAAUAUCAAAUCCAUCUAAUGGAUUACCCUGACCAAAGUUUUGCUAAAUUGAAAUACAGCGACUCAUUCUUUUCCAACUCUUAGAGUGGUCAAUCCCAU